CCAUGCCGCGUGAGUGAAGAAGGCCUUCGGGUUGUAAAGCUCUUUCGGCUGGGACGAAAAGGUCCGUGUUAACACCACGGAUCCAUGACGGUACCAGCAGAAGAAGCACCGGCUAACUACGUGCCAGCAGCCGCGGUAAUACGUAGGGUGCAGGCGUUAAUCGGAAUUACUGGGCGUAAAGCGUGCGCAGGCGGUUUGCUAAGACAGGUGUGAAAUCCCCGGGCUUAACCUGGGAACUGCGCUUGUAACUGGCAAGCUAGAGUGUGGCAGAGGGGGGUGGAAUUCCAGGUGUAGCAGUGAAAUGCGUAGAGAUCUGGAGGAACACCGAUGGCGAAGGCAGCCCCCUGGGCUAACACUGACGCUCAUGCACGAAAGCGUGGGGAGCAAACAGGAUUAGAUACCCUGGUAGUCCACGCCCUAAACUAUGUCAACUGGUUGUCGGGGAAGCAAUUCCUUGGUAACGAAGCUAACGCGUGAAGUUGACCGCCUGGGGAGUACGGCCGCAAGGUUA
RNAcentral lists this ribosomal RNA (511 nucleotides) under uncultured Pseudomonadota bacterium. RNAcentral describes it as "bacterial SSU rRNA". It matches the Rfam family "Bacterial small subunit ribosomal RNA", at positions 392 to 896 of the family's 1533-position model. The record is from RNAcentral. Lineage: Bacteria; Pseudomonadati; Pseudomonadota.